UGGGCGUAAGAGCUCGUAGGCGGUUUGUCGCGUCUGCUGUGAAAUCCCGAGGCUCAACCUCGGGCUUGCAGUGGGUACGGGCAGACUAGAGUGCGGUAGGGGAGAUAGGAAUUCCUGGUGUAGCGGUGGAAUGCGCAGAUAUCAGGAGGAACACCGAUGGCGAAGGCAGAUCUCUGGGCCGUAACUGACGCUGAGGAGCGAAAGCAUGGGGAGCGAACAGGAUUAGAUACCCUGGUAGUCCAUGCCGUAAACGUUGGGCGCUAGAUGUAGGGACCUUUCCACGGUUUCUGUGUCGUAGCUAACGCAUUAAGCGCCCCGCCUGGGGAGUACGGCCGCAAGGCUAAAACUCAAAGGAAUUGACGGGGGCCCGCACAAGCGGCGGAGCAUGCGGAUUAAUUCGAUGCAACGCGAAGAACCUUACCAAGGCUUGACAUACACCGGAAACGGCCAGAGAUGGUCGCCCCCUUGUGGUCGGUGUACAGGUGGUGCAUGGUUGUCGUCAGCUCGUGUCGUGAGAUGUUGGGUUAAGUCCCGCAACGAGCGCAACCCUCGUUCUAUGUUGCCAGCGGGUUAUGCCGGGGACUCAUAGGAGACUGCCGGGGUCAACUCGGAGGAAGGUGGGGAUGACGUCAAAUCAUCAUGCCCCUUAUGUCUUGGGCUUCACGCAUGCUACAAUGGCCGGUACAAAGGGCUGCGAUACCGUAAGGUGGAGCGAAUCCCAAAAAGCCGGUCUCAGUUCGGAUUGAGGUCUGCAACUCGACCUCAUGAAGUCGGAGUCGCUAGUAAUCGCAGAUCAGCAACGCUGCGGUGAAUACGUUCCCGGGCCUUGUACACACCGCCCGUCAAGUCAUGAAAGUCGGUAACACCCGAAGCCGGUGGCCUAACCCUUGUGGAAGGAGCCGUCGAAGGUGGGAUCGGUGAUUAGGAC
This 928-nucleotide ribosomal RNA is filed under the name Curtobacterium sp. RNAcentral describes it as "bacterial SSU rRNA". It matches the Rfam family "Bacterial small subunit ribosomal RNA", at positions 555 to 1481 of the family's 1533-position model. Lineage: Bacteria; Bacillati; Actinomycetota; Actinomycetes; Micrococcales; Microbacteriaceae. The record is from RNAcentral.